AGACCCGAAACCCGGUGAUCUAGCCAUGGGCAGGUUGAAGGUUGGGUAACACUAACUGGAGGACCGAACCGACUAAUGUUGAAAAAUUAGCGGAUGACCUGUGGCUGGGGGUGAAAGGCCAAUCAAACCGGGAGAUAGCUGGUUCUCCCCGAAAGCUAUUUAGGUAGCGCCUCGUGAAUUCAUCUCCGGGGGUAGAGCACUGUUUCGGCUAGGGGGCCAUCCCGGCUUACCAACCCGAUGCAAACUGCGAAUACCGGAGAAUGUUAUCACGGGAGACACACGGCGGGUGCUAACGUCCGUCGUGAAGAGGGAAACAACCCAGACCGCCAGCUAAGGUCCCAAAGUCAUGGUUAAGUGGGAAACGAUGUGGGAAGGCCCAGACAGCCAGGAUGUUGGCUUAGAAGCAGCCAUCAUUUAAAGAAAGCGUAAUAGCUCACUGGUCGAGUCGGCCUGCGCGGAAGAUGUAACGGGGCUAAACCAUGCACCGAAGCUGCGGCAGCGACACUCAGGUGUUGUUGGGUAGGGGAGCGUUCUGUAAGCCUGUGAAGGUGGCCUGUGAGGGUUGCUGGAGGUAUCAGAAGUGCGAAUGCUGACAUAAGUAACGAUAAAGCGGGUGAAAAGCCCGCUCGCCGGAAGACCAAGGGUUCCUGUCCAACGUUAAUCGGGGCAGGGUGAGUCGACCCCUAAGGCGAGGCCGAAAGGCGUAGUCGAUGGGAAACGGGUUAAUAUUCCCGUACUUGGUGUUACUGCGAAGGGGGGACGGAGAAGGCU
Molecule: ribosomal RNA, 771 nt
Filed under: Salmonella enterica subsp. enterica serovar Virchow
Lineage: Bacteria; Pseudomonadati; Pseudomonadota; Gammaproteobacteria; Enterobacterales; Enterobacteriaceae
Also listed under: 1 other name
Description: partial 23S ribosomal RNA
Rfam family: Bacterial large subunit ribosomal RNA
Source: RNAcentral